This 490-nucleotide ribosomal RNA is filed under the name uncultured bacterium. Its description in RNAcentral is "partial 16S ribosomal RNA". It matches the Rfam family "Bacterial small subunit ribosomal RNA", at positions 30 to 507 of the family's 1533-position model. The record is from RNAcentral.
AUUGAACGCUGGCGGCAGGCUUAACACAUGCAAGUCGAGCGGUAGCACAAGAGAGCUUGCUCUCUGGGUGACGAGCGGCGGACGGGUGAGUAAUGUCUGGAAAACUGCCUGAUGGAGGGGGAUAACUACUGGAAACGGUAGCUAAUACCGCAUAACGCCGCAAGACCAAAGAGGGGGACCUUCGGGCCUCUUGCCAUCAGAUGUGCCCAGAUGGGAUUAGCUAGUAGGUGGGGUAAUGGCUCACCUAGGCGACGAUCCCUAGCUGGUCUGAGAGGAUGACCAGCCACACUGGAACUGAGACACGGUCCAGACUCCUACGGGAGGCAGCAGUGGGGAAUAUUGCACAAUGGGCGCAAGCCUGAUGCAGCCAUGCCGCGUGUGUGAAGAAGGCCUUCGGGUUGUAAAGCACUUUCAGCGAGGAGGAAGGUGGUGAACUUAAUACGUUCAUCAAUUGACGUUACUCGCAGAAGAAGCACCGGCUAACUCCGUG